RNAcentral lists this ribosomal RNA (498 nucleotides) under uncultured bacterium. RNAcentral's name for it is "bacterial SSU rRNA". It matches the Rfam family "Bacterial small subunit ribosomal RNA", at positions 29 to 526 of the family's 1533-position model. The record is from RNAcentral.
AACGAACGCUGGCGGCAGGCUUAACACAUGCAAGUCGAGCGCCCCGCAAGGGGAGCGGCAGACGGGUGAGUAACACGUGGGUAACCUGCCCAUCAGAGGGGGAUAACACUUGGAAACAGGUGCUAAUACCGCAUAAUUCCUUUUACCGCAUGGUAAAAGGCUGAAAGGCGCUUCUGGUGUCACUGAUGGAUGGACCCGCGGUGCAUUAGCUAGUCGGUGGGGUAACGGCCUACCGAGGCGAUGAUGCAUAGCCGACCUGAGAGGGUGAUCGGCCACAUUGGGACUGAGACACGGCCCAAACUCCUACGGGAGGCAGCAGUAGGGAAUCUUCGGCAAUGGACGAAAGUCUGACCGAGCAACGCCGCGUGAGUGAAGAAGGUUUUCGGAUCGUAAAACUCUGUUGUUAGAGAAGAACAGGAGAAGUAGUAACUGGCUUCUUUUUGACGGUAUCUAACCAGAAAGCCACGGCUAACUACGUGCCAGCCGCCGCGGUAAAAC